This 468-nucleotide ribosomal RNA is filed under the name uncultured bacterium. RNAcentral describes it as "partial 16S ribosomal RNA". It matches the Rfam family "Bacterial small subunit ribosomal RNA", at positions 28 to 507 of the family's 1533-position model. The record is from RNAcentral.
GACGAACGCUGGCGGCGUGCUUAACACAUGCAAGUCGAACGGAAAGGCCCUGCUUUUGUGGGGUGCUCGAGUGGCGAACGGGUGAGUAACACGUGAGUAACCUGCCCUUGACUUUGGGAUAACUUCAGGAAACUGGGGCUAAUAACGGAUAGGAGCUCCUGCUGCAUGGUGGGGGUUGGAAAGGUUCGGCGGUUGGGGAUGGACUCGCGGCGUAUCAGCUUGUUGGGGGGGUAGUGGCUUGCCAAGGCUUUGACGGGUAGCCGGCCUGAGAGGGGGACCGGCCACAUUGGGACUGAGAUACGGCCCAGACUCCUACGGGAGGCAGCAGUGGGGAAUAUUGCACAAUGGGCGGAAGCCUGAUGCAGCAACGCCGCGUGCGGGAUGACGGCCUUCGGGUUGUAAACCGCUUUCGCCUGUGACGAAGCGUGAGUGACGGUAAUGGGUAAAGAAGCACCGGCUAACUACGUG